Molecule: ribosomal RNA, 553 nt
Filed under: Solariella sp. 4 LS-2013
Lineage: Eukaryota; Metazoa; Mollusca; Gastropoda; Trochida; Solariellidae
Description: partial 16S ribosomal RNA
Rfam family: Bacterial large subunit ribosomal RNA
Source: RNAcentral
CGCUCUUUGGAAAUAUAAGUUUAAUAUAAAGAGUCGGACCUGCCCGGUGACAUAUGUUAAACGGCCGCGGUACUCUGACCGUGCAAAGGUAGCAUAAUCAUUUGCCUUUUAAUUGAAGGCUUGUAUGAAUGGUUUGACGAGAGCUAAGCUGUCUCCUUUUAAAUAUCUAGAAAUUAAUUUAUAGGUGAAGAGGCCUAUAUAUAUUUGAGGGACAAGAAGACCCUAUUGAGUUUGAGUAAAAGUAAGAGUGGAUAUUUUAUUGAGCUAUUGUGAGAUAAAGAGUUAUAUAUGUAUAUAAAUUGGGCUUUUAGUUAAUCUUUAGUUGGGGCGACUGAGGAGCAUGAAAAGCAUCCUUUAAAAAAUAAAAUUAUGAUUGAUUGAUUAGUUUGAUCCAAUUUUUAUUGAUCAAGGGAAAAAAUUACCAUAGGGAUAACAGCGUAAUCUUCUUGGAGAGUUCUUAUUGAAAAGAGGGUUUGCGACCUCGAUGUUGGACUAAGAUGUCCUAGGGGUGUAGAAGCUUCUAAGGGUUGGUCUGUUCGACCAUUAAAAUCUU